Molecule: non-coding RNA, 232 nt
Organism: Dermacentor albipictus
Lineage: Eukaryota; Metazoa; Arthropoda; Arachnida; Ixodida; Ixodidae
Source: RefSeq, a predicted model, not a curated record
GUGCCUUUCGACCUCGUCGUACUGUUGAAACGUGGCGAGGCCGUGACCCACAACAUAAACUACAAGAUCGAGGAGCCCCAAGAAAUGCAGACCCUGUGGAUAUAUGGCUGCAGCAGCAUGGCGUGUGAUCUGGAUGGUCAUGACAGGCUCCACCGUCGCCGUUACUAGACGGACCAAAUGAGGCCAAAAACUAGCCUUUCCUCGCUCCAUUCCUGGGAAGUGAAAUAGCAGG